GGUAGUGGGGCCUGGAGACUGGUGCAGUGUAUCUGACCUUUACAGCUUGAAUGUGACUUCUGUGUUUGUUAGUUAACCCAGCCUGGUGAUUCAUCCAGAUUUUGUAGUCUGGCAUUUUCCUACCCAGUUCUAGUUUCCUUGGGUCUUUUGGCAUGGAACCUGAAGGGACUGAAGAAAUCACGGUGUUUUCAGGUCUGAAAAGAACACCUGAAAGUACCAAAGCCAUCUUGCCAUGAGCAGCCUGAGAAUGGAGACGAUGACUGAGGGUGGCAGAGCAGAAAGAUGGUAAGAGCCUGCAUCUGUAAUAACUGGGCUGGCCACUGAAGCUGCUUACCCAACCCUCUCCCCCUUGGUAAGUACAGUUAUCCCAAUGAAUGAAUUCUGAAAAAUUGUUUAAGGGUGUUUAAAUCUGGUUUUUAUGGCUUGAAGCCAAAAGCGUUCUAGCUAAAAUAACUUGCCAUGUAGUAAAUGUUUAUUAAACAUUUUUAAUAAACAUUAAUGUACAUUAAACAUAACUUGAUUUUAAAGUGGUGGUCUUAGAAAUCAAAGGGUGUGUCCCUUGUGAGUCUGUCAUGCAAUAGGAUUUGGAACAUGAAAUACAGUAUUCUUAUGGUCAUCCCCUAUAAGCCCACGCUUAUUUUGUU
This 644-nucleotide long non-coding RNA is filed under the name Callithrix jacchus (white-tufted-ear marmoset). RNAcentral's name for it is "lncRNA (ENSCJAG00000085431.1)". Lineage: Eukaryota; Metazoa; Chordata; Mammalia; Primates; Cebidae. The record is from RNAcentral.